CCUCAUAGAUUCUAUAGAUGAAAACAAAGAUGGCAAGAUCAGCUUUACAGAAUUCCUUUCUCUCAGUGCCAAGUAGAGCAGAGCAAGUUAUACAUUGACUCAAUGAUUUUAUUUUAAUAGUUAUUGUGUAGUAAUAGCAGCCAGUUUAGCUUAGCCAUAGUAUAAAGUUUAUGAUAAAAUAUA
This is a long non-coding RNA of Amphimedon queenslandica, 183 nucleotides long. RefSeq lists it as uncharacterized. The transcript is spliced from 2 exons. The record is from RefSeq and is a predicted model, not a curated record. NCBI's taxonomy places the organism in Eukaryota, Metazoa, Porifera, Demospongiae, Haplosclerida, Niphatidae.